This 509-nucleotide ribosomal RNA is filed under the name uncultured bacterium. Its description in RNAcentral is "bacterial SSU rRNA". It matches the Rfam family "Bacterial small subunit ribosomal RNA", at positions 29 to 513 of the family's 1533-position model. The record is from RNAcentral.
AACGAACGCUGGCGGCGUGGAUUAGGCAUGCAAGUCGAACGCGAAAGAGGGGGAAACCCCUUUAGUAGAGUGGCGAACGGGUGAGUAACGCGUGAAGAACCUGCCUUCAACAGGGGGAUAACACUCCCAACGGGGUGCUAAUACCGCAUGAGACCACGGAGCUGCAUGGCUCUGAGGUCAAAGGUGGCCUCUAUUUAUAAGCUACCGGUUGAAGAUGGCUUCGCGUCCCAUUAGCAGUUGGCGGUGUAAAAGACCACCAAGGCGACGAUGGGUAGCUGGUCUGAGAGGAUGGUCAGCCACACUGGGACUGAGAUACGGCCCAGACUCCUACGGGAGGCAGCAGUCGAGAGGCUCCGGCAAUGGGGAAACCCUGACCGAGCGACGCCGCGUGGAGGAUGAAGGCCCUUGGGUUGUAAACUCCUUUUGUCAGCGAAGAAAUGCGAUCAGGUUAAUAAUCUGGUCGUUUGACGGUACCUGACGAAUAAGCUCCGGCUAACUCCGUGCCAGCA